RNAcentral lists this ribosomal RNA (473 nucleotides) under uncultured soil bacterium. Its description in RNAcentral is "bacterial SSU rRNA". It matches the Rfam family "Bacterial small subunit ribosomal RNA", at positions 26 to 518 of the family's 1533-position model. The record is from RNAcentral.
AGGACGAACGCUGGCGGCGUGCUUAACACAUGCAAGUCGAGCGAGACCCUGCCUUCGGGUGGGUGUUCUAGCGGCGAACGGGUGAGUAACACGUGGGCAACCUGCCCUCAGCUCUGGGAUAACUCCACGAAAUUGGGGCUAAUACCGGAUAUGACCGCUGACCGCAUGGUCUGGUGGUGGAAAGAUUUAUCGGCUGGGGGAUGGGCCCGCGGCCUAUCAGCUUGUUGGUGGGGUAGUGGCCUACCAAGGCGACGACGGGUAGCCGGCCUGAGAGGGUGACCGGCCACACUGGGACUGAGACACGGCCCAGACUCCUACGGGAGGCAGCAGUGGGGAAUAUUGCGCAAUGGGCGAAAGCCUGACGCAGCGACGCCGCGUGGGAUGACGGCCUUCGGUGUAACUCUUCAGCAGGACGAAGCGAAAGUGACGGUACCUGCAGAAGAAGCACCGGCCAACUACGUGCCAGCAGCCGC